CGAGUCGGCCGGGCGACCGCGGUGACGGGAACGGGCACGAUGGUGCCGCUGCCCGCCGCCGAGGAAAGUCCGGACUCCACAGAGCAGGGCGGUUGUUAACGGCAACCCGGGGCGACCCGCGGGACAGUGCCACAGAAAACAAACCGCCGCGCACACGUGCGCGGUAAGGGUGAAACGGUGCGGUAAGAGCGCACCAGCGCCCCGGGUGACCGGGGCGGCUCGGUAAACCCCGCCCGGAGCAAGGUCGAAGGUCGCACCUCGCGGUGCGGCUGCGCAGGUGUUCGAGGGCUGCUCGCCCGAGCCUGCGGGUGGACCGCUCGAGGCACCCGGCGACGGUGUGUCCAGAUGGAUGGUCGCCCCCCGGCGCGAGCCGGGGACAGGAUCCGGCUUACAGGCCGGCUCGCCCG
Molecule: RNase P RNA, 407 nt
Filed under: Nocardia asteroides
Lineage: Bacteria; Bacillati; Actinomycetota; Actinomycetes; Mycobacteriales; Nocardiaceae
Also listed under: 1 other name
Description: RNase P RNA component class A
Rfam family: Bacterial RNase P class A
About the family: Ribonuclease P (RNase P) is a ubiquitous endoribonuclease, found in archaea, bacteria and eukarya as well as chloroplasts and mitochondria. Its best characterised activity is the generation of mature 5'-ends of tRNAs by cleaving the 5'-leader elements of precursor-tRNAs.
Source: RNAcentral